AGGACGAACGCUGGCGGCGUGCCUAAUACAUGCAAGUCGAACGAGGUUCAUCCGGUGGCAACACCGGAGAAGACCGAGUGGCGAACGGGUGAGUAGCACGUGAGCAACCUACCCCGAAGACUGGGAUAACACCGGGAAACCGGUGCUAAUACCGGAUACCCCCAUCGGACCGCAUGAUCUGAUGAGGAAAUGGAUUCCGCUUCGGGAGGGGCUCGCGGCCUAUCAGCUAGUUGGUGAGGUAAUGGCUCACCAAGGCUUCGACGGGUAGCUGGUCUGAGAGGACGAUCAGCCACACUGGGACUGAGACACGGCCCAGACUCCUACGGGAGGCAGCAGUAGGGAAUCUUGCGCAAUGGGCGAAAGCCUGACGCAGCAACGCCGCGUGGGGGACGAAGGCUUUCUGAGUUGUAAACCCCUUUCAGCAGGGACGAUUGUGACGGUACCUGCAGAAGAGCACCGGCCAACUACGCGCCAGCAGCCGC
Molecule: ribosomal RNA, 482 nt
Filed under: uncultured bacterium
Lineage: Bacteria
Description: SSU rRNA
Rfam family: Bacterial small subunit ribosomal RNA
Source: RNAcentral